GUUAAAUUAAGAUCUUUUACAUCUCUCCCUCAAAUUCUCAUCAAUAAAGCUUGUUUUAAGAUUCAGUAAACUCAAGUUGCUUGAUUCAAGAGUCACACAAAAAGCAUCUGAAAGAAACAGAGUUUAUUAUUGCUCUGACUUCAAGCAUGUUCAGACAAUGUGAGGAUAAAUUAUACAGCCUUCACCACAACUCACCAUACAGUCCAUGGAAUUGUUUAAUGACCAAAACAGUUUGUUAACAAAAACAGGUCCAGGAAACCGGCAAACUUGAUCACCCAAUAAAUCAAUGCUUCCCUUUCAUUCCUCCAUUUUAAUGUCUACUUCUGUGGGCAAUAAUAUCACAAAGACUAUAUUUUAUUGGCACAAACAUAUGUUCCUUGAAACUAACAGAAAAAUAAGAAAUACAGUCAAUGAGUUCAUGUACAAAUUCUGUAGCCUGGGCAACAUUGGGAACUGCCACCUCAUAUGCCAGCAAUUCUGGACUCAAAUUCAGUGUCUCAUAACGCUGACAACAGAUUGCAUGACCUCUACGCCUAGAAAAUCUUUGACUUUUCUCUUGACAUAAUCAAAAUUUUUGACAGCUGAGACAGGCCCCGAUUCUCUUUCACUAGCAAAAAUUGGAUGCUCAAUGCCUAUUUCAUUUUGACAACAUUCAAGGAACUGGUUAUGGUUUGCAAGCGAUUUACAGACAUUUUUGAAAUUUAACUUAGAAGCCCACUGCUUAAAAUAACUGUGCUUAGCUUCAAAUCGCAUACACAUACUUCUUAUUAAUGGACCAAGAGAUAUGAUUUGGCUUGGUAGAUGUAACAUGUAAUGUUGCUUGGGUAUUACAUUGGCUUCAGAGAAAAGUUCUUUGAAAUGAUGCAGAUGUUGCUCAAUCAUGCGUCUGAGCCGUAAUACGGUUUCUAAAGAAAUAACAGGAGCAAGGACAAUUUGAACAAUCUCAAUUAACUUGAGAAUAAAUUUGACAUACUCGUUGUCCAUACCGUUCAAAAGAAAAGGUAGGAUUUUUAAAAGUAUCAACAUUUGUCCACAUGACUGCUUUAAUUUAUUGUCAUUAGCAGCUAAAGUACUGACACUAAUAGGACAUGGCUUAUCUCUUAUGUCUAGAGGUGAGUAAGGAAAAUUUAGAAUAGCUGAGUUAAUCUCAUCUAAUUCUAUCUGUCCUGACAGAAUCAGGUUUUUUAAUACAAGCUUUAUUUCCAUUGGUGCAACACCUUCAAAAAUUACAUGCAUUAUAUCCUGUGGUGUUUGUUUGAUCAGAUCAAAUGCUGGAACAUCAACUAGUCUGCUUCUUCUGUUAAUCCCAUAAGUGGUUUUGAGGGAUGCUUUCAAUGUUUCUGUGCUUGCCUUAUCUAUUUCAACACACUGCCUAAUGUGCUUUUCCAAAGUUCUUUCAGCAAACCUAUUCUCCUCAAAAAUACUUUGCAUAUCCUCAAAGGAGCAUUCACAAUGUCUACAUUUGCUAUAAGCAAAACCAACACCUUGUUUAAAUCCAGCAAUAUCAUGUUGGGCAAGUGUGUCUCCACAUAUGGCGAUCACAGCACCAAACAACUCAAUUUCACCAUUUGGGGUGUCAAUCCUAACACCAUUGUACAGAAGUGUCAGAUCUUUUUGGAUUCUUUUUAGUAUAACAUCAACACCCCACUGAGAAAUAUUGUUUGCCUUGGCAAUAGCCAGGAGUCUUAUUGCAGCCAACUUCGACCUAAAUUUUGGAUCUAUAUUCCCUAAACUAUAAUAAAACAUCAGUAAUUUAUUUGCAGAGGCAUGGGCGCCUAAAGGGUUACAUAUUUCAAUUUCAUCGGUGUACAAUAGUAUUUGCAAUGCAUUUGGCCUUUGAGAAUAUAAUGGAUGGGAUGUAAAAAGGGCUCCAUCAGUAAAAUCAUACAAGAAUCCCUCACUUCUUUGUGGUACAGUGGUUAACAUGGUGAAGAUUCUGGGAUUGGUCAGUAACUGCUUAAGACUUUGAAUGAGUGGUACAUAGUAAAAACUUUUGCCUCUUAAGGCCAUGACCCUUGAAAGACCACGCUUUACCCAACAAAUCUUCUGGGACACCACAACUUCCUCUGGGUUGACU
This is a long non-coding RNA of Gasterosteus aculeatus aculeatus (three-spined stickleback), 2077 nucleotides long. Lineage: Eukaryota; Metazoa; Chordata; Actinopteri; Perciformes; Gasterosteidae. The record is from Ensembl.